AUGUGGCCUGUAUUUGUUAUACCAUACAACCUUCCACCUUGGGCAUGCAUGGAUCAGUCAAAUUUUAUGAUGCCUUUGCUGAUUCCUGGUCCCAAAUCACCUGGCAAGCACUUUGAUGUCUUUCUGCAACCACUUGUAGAAGAAUUACUUGAGCUCUGGGAGGGUGUGCGUACAUAUGAUGCUCUUAGUGGAAAAAUGUUUGAUCUUCAUGUUGCAGUUCUAUGGUGCAUUCACGACUACCCAGCUCUAAGCACUCUUUCAGGGCGUACCACAAGAGGCUAUUUUGCAUGUAUUCAUUGUGACAAACACCCUCUUUCUUACAGCCUAAGGAGUAAAAUUGGGUAUAUUGGUCACUACCGUUUCCUUCUAAGGGGUCAUCGUUUACGGAGAAACAAUGAAUUUGUUGGUCUUCAUGAAAGCAAUGAUGAGCCAGGUAAAUUCUCUGAGAAAGAGUUGCAAGCAGAAUUGGAGAAGGUUAGACCUGGGAGACACCAAGAAAGUAGGAAAAGGAAGCGUUCUGACCUGGGCAGCAAGAAGGAUCAUGUGCCAAUUUGGGGCCGGAGGGUUUGUUUGUGGGAUUUGAAGUAUUGGGCAAAGUUGAAGCUGAGACACAAUCUUGAUGUCAUGCACAUUGAGAAAAACAUUUGUGAAAACCUCAUUGGGACAAUUCUGAAUCUGGAGGGUAAGACAAAGGAUACACUUAAUGCUAGGAUUGAUCUGAAAGAUUUGAAUAUUAAAGAAGAGUUGCAAUUGAGGAAGGAGGGAGACUCAUAUGUGAUGCCUCGGGCCCGAUAUACCUUGUCCAAAGAACAAGUGGUUGCAUUUUGUCAAUUUUUACGAGAGUUAAAGUUUCCAGAUGGGUUUGCUUCCAACAUCUCAAGAUGCACAAGUGCUGAUGGAACCAAGGUACAAGGCCUGAAAACACAUGAUUGUCACAUUCUUUUGCAGAGAAUCUUACCUGCCGGCAUGAGAGGAUUUUUGGACAAUGAUAUAUAUGAAGCAAUAGCUGAGUUAGGCAAGUUUUUCAGAGAACUAUGCAGCAAAACUCUUAAUAGGGAUGUCUUGGCUGAAAUGAAGAAGGAAAUCCCUGUAAUUUUGUGGAAGCUUGAGAAAAAAUUUCCGCCUGCAUUCUUUGAUGUGAUGGUGCACCUUGCCGUACACUUACCUGAAGAGGCAUUGCUUCGAGGUCCCGUAAAAUAUGGGUGGAUGUACCCAGUUGAAAGAAGGCUAUAUACUUUAAAGCGCUAUGUGAGGAAUAGGGCGCGACCGGAAGGUUCGAUUGCUGAGGCAUAUAUUGCAGAUGAAUGCCUGACAUUUUUCUCCAAGUACAUGGAUGAUGUUGAAACAAUAUUUAAUCGGAAACCAAGAAAUGUAGGUUUUUCAAAUGAAGAAGCCUAUGGUGUUGACGUUUUUGGGCAUGGAGUUAAUUUUACUUCAGGAUAUGAAUAUGAAUAUGUGCAUGAGCAAAAAGAAUUUGACUAG
Molecule: ribosomal RNA, 1482 nt
Filed under: Triticum aestivum (bread wheat)
Lineage: Eukaryota; Viridiplantae; Streptophyta; Magnoliopsida; Poales; Poaceae
Description: partial small subunit ribosomal RNA
Source: RNAcentral